RNAcentral lists this ribosomal RNA (301 nucleotides) under uncultured bacterium. RNAcentral's name for it is "partial 16S ribosomal RNA". It matches the Rfam family "Bacterial small subunit ribosomal RNA", at positions 509 to 809 of the family's 1533-position model. The record is from RNAcentral.
CAGUCGCCGCGGUAAUACGUAGGGUGCAAGCGUUAAUCGGAAUUACUGGGCGUAAAGCGUGCGCAGGCGGUUAUAUAAGACAGAUGUGAAAUCCCCGGGCUCAACCUGGGAACUGCAUUUGUGACUGUAUAGCUAGAGUACGGCAGAGGGGGAUGGAAUUCCGCGUGUAGCAGUGAAAUGCGUAGAUAUGCGGAGGAACACCGAUGGCGAAGGCAAUCCCCUGGGCCUGUACUGACGCUCAUGCACGAAAGCGUGGGGAGCAAACAGGAUUAGAUACCCCAGUAGUCCCUGUCUCUUAUAA